Molecule: long non-coding RNA, 303 nt
Organism: Mastomys coucha (southern multimammate mouse)
Lineage: Eukaryota; Metazoa; Chordata; Mammalia; Rodentia; Muridae
Exons: 2
Source: RefSeq, a predicted model, not a curated record
GGGUCCUGAAAGUCGAAGGAAUAGGGUAUUGAGAGAGCCACUCGGGGUUUGGUCUGGAUAGAAAAUGGGAGCUAGAGUUGGAUGUAGGAAAAGGUGCUUUUGUCUCCUCCUUACUUCAUCACAUCCUUGAACAUUUUCAAGUAAAGAAGUACGGAUACACUGUCACACACUACAACUUCUUUUGGAGAAGAGGUUUCAAGGUCAGAGAGCGGGUGCAAAGGGACAGGAAGAUGAGCGGGUUUGGCAUGUAUGAUGUGAAAUUCCCAAUGAAUCAAUAAGAUGUGAAAAAUAUUUUUAAAUGUA